Molecule: transfer RNA, 82 nt
Filed under: Candidatus Obscuribacterales bacterium
Lineage: Bacteria; Bacillati; Candidatus Melainabacteria; Candidatus Obscuribacterales
Description: tRNA-Ser
Rfam family: tRNA
About the family: Transfer RNA (tRNA) molecules are approximately 80 nucleotides in length. Their secondary structure includes four short double-helical elements and three loops (D, anti-codon, and T loops).
Source: RNAcentral
GGAAGCAACCCGGCUGGAUGAGGACGCUGUCUUGAAAACAGUUGGCCGUCAAGGUUUGGGGGUUCGAGUCCCUCUGCUUCCU